Molecule: ribosomal RNA, 434 nt
Filed under: Staphylococcus aureus
Lineage: Bacteria; Bacillati; Bacillota; Bacilli; Caryophanales; Staphylococcaceae
Description: partial 23S ribosomal RNA
Rfam family: Bacterial large subunit ribosomal RNA
Source: RNAcentral
GAACCAGUACCGUGAGGGAAAGGUGAAAAGCACCCCGGAAGGGGAGUGAAAUAGAACCUGAAACCGUGUGCUUACAAGUAGUCAGAGCCCGUUAAUGGGUGAUGGCGUGCCUUUUGUAGAAUGAACCGGCGAGUUACGAUUUGAUGCAAGGUUAAGCAGUAAAUGUGGAGCCGUAGCGAAAGCGAGUCUGAAUAGGGCGUUUAGUAUUUGGUCGUAGACCCGAAACCAGGUGAUCUACCCUUGGUCAGGUUGAAGUUCAGGUAACACUGAAUGGAGGACCGAACCGACUUAGGUUGAAAAGUGAGCGGAUGAACUGAGGGUAGCGGAGAAAUUCCAAUCGAACCUGGAGAUAGCUGGUUCUCUCCGAAAUAGCUUUAGGGCUAGCCUCAAGUGAUGAUUAUUGGAGGUAGAGCACCUGUCUCUUAUACACAUCU